This 424-nucleotide ribosomal RNA is filed under the name uncultured bacterium. RNAcentral describes it as "bacterial SSU rRNA". It matches the Rfam family "Bacterial small subunit ribosomal RNA", at positions 355 to 771 of the family's 1533-position model. The record is from RNAcentral.
UGGGGAAUUUUGGACAAUGGGCGCAAGCCUGAUCCAGCCAUGCCGCGUGAGUGAAGAAGGCCUUCGGGUUGUAAAGCUCUUUCGGCCGGGAAGAAAUCGUGUUCUCUAACAUAGGACAUGGAUGACGGUACCGGACUAAGAAGCACCGGCUAACUACGUGCCAGCAGCCGCGGUAAUACGAAGGGUGCGAGCGUUACGCGGCAUUACUGGGCGUAAAGCGUGCGCAGGAGGUUUUGUAAGACAGUUGUGAAAUCCCCGGGCUUAACCUCGGAACCGCGUUUGUGACUGCUAGGCUGGAGGACGGCAGAGGGGGGUGGAAUUCCACGUGUAGCAGUGAAAUGCGUAGAGAUGUGGAGGAACACCGAUGGCGAAGGCAGCCCCCUGGGCCUGUACUGACGCUCAUGCACGAAAGCGUGGGGAGCAA